UGGCGGCAGGCCUAACACAUGCAAGUCGAGCGGUAACAUUUCUAGCUUGCUAGAAGAUGACGAGCGGCGGACGGGUGAGUAACGCGUAGAAAUCUACCUAGUAGUGGGGGAUAGCCCAGAGAAAUUUGGAUUAAUACCGCAUACGCCCUACGGGGGAAAGCGGGGGAUCUUCGGACCUCGUGCUAUUAGAUGAGUCUGCGUCGGAUUAGCUUGUUGGUGAGGUAAUGGCUCACCAAGGCGACGAUCCGUAGCUGGUCUGAGAGGAUGACCAGCCACACUGGAACUGAGACACGGUCCAGACUCCUACGGGAGGCAGCAGUGGGGAAUAUUGCACAAUGGGCGCAAGCCUGAUGCAGCCAUGCCGCGUGUGUGAAGAAGGCCUUAGGGUUGUAAAGCACUUUCAGCAGUGAGGAAAGGGGUGUCGUUAAUAGCGCCAUCCUGUGACGUUAACUGCAGAAGAAGGACGGCUAACUCCGUG
This 478-nucleotide ribosomal RNA is filed under the name uncultured bacterium. RNAcentral describes it as "bacterial SSU rRNA". It matches the Rfam family "Bacterial small subunit ribosomal RNA", at positions 37 to 507 of the family's 1533-position model. The record is from RNAcentral.